CCGGAGCGCUACGGCGCGCGUGGCGGCACACCUGCUCCCCGAGGCUGAUCGUUAACAGCCGUGGGCAGGGGUUGGGCCAGGGUACAGCUGUCAGGACCUCACUGGACAGGACCGGAGAGGACCCCGCGUAACCGCGGAACAGACACUCCCGGCAGCGGCCGCCGCCGCGGCACUGCUACGGGACGAGCCGGAGCGCUUGGCCAUGGCGGCCCGAUCCGCACUGGCGCUGCUGCUGCUGCUGCCAGUCCUGCUCCUGCCGGUGCAGAGCCGCUCAGAGCCCGAGACCACCGCGCCCACCCCUACCCCAAUCCCGGGUGGCAACUCGUCAGUGAGCAGGCCCCUGCCCAGCAUCGAGCUCCACGCCUGCGGCCCAUACCCCAAACCAGGCCUGCUCAUCCUGCUGGCCCCGCUGGCCCUGUGGCCCAUUCUCCUGUAGGGACGCCCAGCCAGCCACCUCUAAGUCGCCGCUGGGACUGGCCUGCCCCAUUGAGCAACAGAGACGCUUGACAGCCGCCCGCCUCCAUUCCUUGACUUCACCCAGAAAUGGGUCCAGAAAACUGAAUCCCACCAGCACUGGUUUGGAGCAACCGGACACCGAGGUUUCACCUCCAGGGAUUCCAUGAAGAGCCUCAAUGGAGAUGCCACAUCCUACUGAGUUAAAGAUGGGCUGAGGAACUUGGGUACCCACAAGUCUGCCUUGGGAAUCAAAAGAAAAUAUUUACCUUUAGUUUGGUUCAUUAAAUGCAUGAAGUCAAAAUAUGACCAGGAGAACAAUAAUAAGGAAAAAGUUAACUUUUGACUAAAGCCGAAUUCCUGAUUCUAAGAUUUAAAGGUCACCUACCAGGAUUAAGAUUUGGUCCUCACAACUGUUACCUGAAGAGAUUCCAGUUGAUGAAGAAGGCUGCCAUGCAGGCUCAGGGCAAGGAAAGGGAAUGUGCUGCUAGCACUGGACCUCAGCUCCGGGCAAGGCUGCACCUUCUGAACCGACGGCCCAGGAGCGAAGUGACCCAUACUUCCUCCAAAGCAUCACUCUCCAGACAUGGUAAUCCAGGCCCAGAAGCAAAGGCUCAGAUCCGACUGCUGGUCAAGAACAGACUGAAGGAGACCAGAAGUGGAAGAAGAGAUCUGUUAGGAGGCUACUCAG
This 1144-nucleotide long non-coding RNA is filed under the name Homo sapiens (human). RNAcentral describes it as "HSALNT0404607". Lineage: Eukaryota; Metazoa; Chordata; Mammalia; Primates; Hominidae. The record is from RNAcentral.